This 575-nucleotide ribosomal RNA is filed under the name uncultured bacterium. RNAcentral's name for it is "bacterial SSU rRNA". It matches the Rfam family "Bacterial small subunit ribosomal RNA", at positions 213 to 783 of the family's 1533-position model. The record is from RNAcentral.
UUCCACCUGAGGAGCGGCUUAGACAGUAUCAGCUUGUUGGUGAGGUAACGGCUCACCAAGGCUACGACGCUUAGGGGGUGUGAGAGCAUGGCCCCCACCACUGGCACUGAGACACUGGCCAGACACCUACGGGUGGCUGCAGUCGAGAAUCUUCGGCAAUGGACGCAAGUCUGACCGAGCGACGCCGCGUGCGGGAUGAAGGCCUUCGGGUUGUAAACCGCUGUCAGAGGGGAUGAAGUGUACGGGGGUACUCCCCUGUACUUGACAGAGCCUCAGAGGAAGCACGGGCUAAGUUCGUGCCAGCAGCCGCGGUAAUACGAACUGUGCGAACGUUAUUCGGAAUCACUGGGCUUAAAGGGUGCGUAGGCGGUUAUCUAAGUCAGGUGUGAAAUCUCUCGGCUCAACCGGGAAACUGCGCUUGAAACUGGGUGACUGGAGGGAUGCAGGGGUGUGUGGGACUUCCGGUGGAGCGGUGAAAUGUGUAGAUAUCGGAAGGAACGCCAGCAGCGAAAGCGGCACACUGGGCAUUUACUGACGCUGAGGCACGAAAGCUAGGGGAGUGGACGGGAUUAGAU